This 496-nucleotide ribosomal RNA is filed under the name uncultured bacterium. RNAcentral's name for it is "partial 16S ribosomal RNA". It matches the Rfam family "Bacterial small subunit ribosomal RNA", at positions 28 to 506 of the family's 1533-position model. The record is from RNAcentral.
GAUGAACGCUGGCGGCGUGCCUAAUACAUGCAAGUCGAGCGAACAGACGAGGAGCUUGCUUCUCUGACGUUAGCGGCGGACGGGUGAGUAACACGUGGAUAACCUACCUAUAAGACUGGGAUAACUUCGGGAAACCGGAGCUAAUACCGGAUAAUAUAUUGAACCGCAUGGUUCAAUAGUGAAAGACGGUUUUGCUGUCACUUAUAGAUGGAUCCGCGCCGCAUUAGCUAGUUGGUAAGGUAACGGCUUACCAAGGCGACGAUGCGUAGCCGACCUGAGAGGGUGAUCGGCCACACUGGAACUGAGACACGGUCCAGACUCCUACGGGAGGCAGCAGUAGGGAAUCUUCCGCAAUGGGCGAAAGCCUGACGGAGCAACGCCGCGUGAGUGAUGAAGGUCUUCGGAUCGUAAAACUCUGUUAUUAGGGAAGAACAAAUGUGUAAGUAACUAUGCACGUCUUGACGGUACCUAAUCAGAAAGCCACGGCUAACUACGU